This 253-nucleotide ribosomal RNA is filed under the name uncultured bacterium. RNAcentral's name for it is "partial 16S ribosomal RNA". It matches the Rfam family "Bacterial small subunit ribosomal RNA", at positions 524 to 776 of the family's 1533-position model. The record is from RNAcentral.
UACGGGGGGGGCAAGCGUUGUUCGGAAUUACUGGGCGUAAAGGGCUCGUAGGCGGCCAACUAAGUCCGACGUGAAAUCCCCAGGCUUAACCUGGGAACUGCGUCGGAUACUGGAUGGCUUGAAUUCGGGAGAGGGAUGCAGAAUUCCAGGUGUAGCGGUGAAAUGCGUAGAUAUCUGGAGGAACACCGGUGGCGAAGGCGGCAUCCUGGACCGACACUGACACUGAGGAGCGAAAGCCAGGGGAGCAAACGGG